CAUCCUCUUCCCGUUCUUGGAGGAAUAGAAGGAAAAGGAAUUCGAGCGAAUUGAGAUGAGUAAAAACCUGAGUCUUGACUCCCCCUAUUAGGACUACUUCAGAAUUCCUGAACUGCCCAUCGGAUUUCCUCUCUCCCAUUGCUUUCCCGCUUCCCGUAAAACCCUUUACCUUCUAUAUAACUCUAUAUAUAAGGUACUGUAUCCACACGCGCAAGGGUCUUUCUUCAAUUCUAUAACCCCAUUAAUAUAAGGAAGAAAAAAUCGCGAAAGCUGCUUUCUUUCUGUCUUUUGACUCAUUAAUCCUGUGCUGUCCUCCGCCAUACUUCAAAUUCUUAAGAUAUUUUAUAUUUUGUGUCGAAUUGUGAAGCAGUUUGAAGCGUUUGGUGAUAAUGAACGCUCCCAUCAUUGACCCGCUACAGGGGGAUUUCCCAGAAGUAAUAGAGGAGUAUUUGGAGCAUGGAGUUAUGAAAUGUAUUGCCUUUAAUCGUCGGGGAACCCUUCUUGCUGCUGGGUGCUCUGAUGGAAGCUGUGUUAUAUGGGAUUUUGAAACCAGAGGCAUUGCGAAAGAGUUCAGGGACAAGGAUAGUGUUGCUGCCAUCACGAGUGUUUGUUGGUCCAAGAAUGGUCAUCGCAUACUAGUGGCAGCUGCAGAUAAGUCGUUGACUCUUUGGGAUGUGGUCACAGGUGAAAAAAUAGCUCGGACAACCUUACAGCAAACACCUUUGCAAGCCCGUCUGCAUCCUGGUUCCUCCACUCCAUCUAUUUGCUUAGCUUGUCCUCUUUCAUCAGCUCCUAUGAUCGUCGACUUCGAUACAACUACUACAACAGUGCUUCCUGUGUCAUUAUCUGACAUGGCAAAUGGUGUUGCCCCUCCAUCACGUAACAAAUUUUCAGAUGGAUCUGCUCCAUUUACACCUACUGCAGCUUGCUUCAACAAAUAUGGAGAUUUGGUUUAUGUGGGAAAUUCGAAAGGGGAGAUAUUGAUUAUAGAUCAUAAAAGCAUUAAAAUACGUGGUAUUGUUCCUAUUCCAGGGAGUGCUGUGAUAAAGAAUAUCAUAUUUAGCAGGAACGGACAGUAUCUUUUGACAAACUCGAAUGACAGAACUAUCAGAAUAUAUGAAAACCUUUUGCCAUUGAAACAUGGCCUUAAAGCCCUGGAUGAAUUAAACCAUGAAUGUGCCGAGGAAGAUGAAGUUGAAAAGUUAAGAGCUGUUGGAUCAAGGUGUUUAGCUCUCUUUCGCGAGUUUCAGGACUCGAUUACCAAAGUGCACUGGAAAGCACCAUGUUUUAGUGGUGAUGGGGAGUGGGUUGUUGGGGGUUCUGCUAGCAAAGGAGAGCACAAGAUAUACAUAUGGGACAAGGCUGGGCAUCUUGUUAAAAUCCUUGAAGGUCCAAAGGAAGCAUUAAUAGAUUUGGCAUGGCACCCUGUUCAUCCUGUUGUUGUUUCUGUCUCCUUGACUGGCUUGGUUUAUAUCUGGGCGAAGGAUUAUACUGAGAAUUGGAGCGCAUUUGCUCCAGAUUUUAAAGAGCUUGAGGAAAACGAGGAGUAUGUUGAACGAGAAGAUGAAUUUGAUUUAGUGCCCGAAGCGGAGAAAGUGAAAGAUUCGGAUAUAAAUGAAGAUGAAGAAAUCGAUAUUGUGACAGUUGAGAAAGAUUCUGCUUUCAGUGAUUCAGACAUGUCACAGAAUGAAAUACGCUUCUUGCCUGCUGACCCGUCUCCGGAUAUUCCUGAACUGCAGGACGCACAUGUUUUAAGUACUUCAAAGCUGGGGCAUGGUAGCCAGUCUUUAUCUCCUCUUUCAGAGGAGGCAGGGCAGAAUGGCCAUUUAACAAAUCAUGAAUCCAGUCCUCUUGAAGAGGACACUGGAGGAACACGUCUCAAAAGGAGGAGGAAGUCUUCAGAGAAGGUAUUGGAUUUUGAAGAAGAGAAUGUUAGGAAGCCACAAUCAAAGAUGAAAGAAUCAAUUAAUUUACUGAAAACUGUAAGAUAAUCUGUAGUUUAAGGUAGAACUCGUCGUAGAAUUCACAGAAGAUGUGAACUUCAAUUUCAUGAGAGUAAAAUCUCUGAGAUGCAUUACGAACUUGAGGUAUUGCCUUUUACAUCCAUGGAACAAGGAAAGUGCAGCCUGUAAACUAAUGUUAAUUGACAUUGUGUUCUGUGGAAUUUAAUGCAGUUUAACUCCUCAAUUUUGAUCCUAUUAUUCAAUACUCACCUUUCCUCUUUAUUCUGAAGUUCCAAGGAAAAAUUACAUAUCAUUCUUGUCACUUAAAGUGAUUUAAAGUCAGGCCAUGCAUGUACGCAUGCACUUACGGUUGGGGUCUGUUUGCAUUUUCCUUUUUUCAUUCUGAAAAUAAGUAAGAAAUUUCUUCACUUAUCCUCUCAGAUUUAUUUAUUAAUUUUUUGAUAAGGGCUAUUCACCGAAUCAGAAAUCUUCCAUCUUUCGUGUUGUUAAGAAAAUUAAUGAGAGUGGGAAAAAUAUUUACUGGGUUCCACUAUUUUUGGUAGGGAAUUACUUACUGUUUUAUUCUCUCCAUUCUUUUCUUUCUAAUUUGUUUCGGUUUUAAGAUAUCAAAAGCCUAAAAUGGUGAAUUUGAUUACUGCUGGAGGUACCUUUUAGUUUAAAUAUAUGACUUUGUUUUUUUCACUUUCAGACUAAAUUCUGUUGAUUUUAUGCUGUAGUUCACUCUCAUGUUUUGAAAAUAAAAUCAAUAUCAAUUGGCUUUCCGGAGUUGUAUGCACUAUUGAAGAAUGUUUUCAAGUAAAGAAAAUAGCAGUUCAAAAGCUAUUGAUGAAGCACUUAAGGUUGGUUUUGGCUGGUUAUAUGCUGGCUAUACCAACAGUUGUUAUAAUAUGCAUUGCUGAUGUUGGCCUGGUUUUAAAAGCAUAAAAGGUAUUAAGUACAUCCCAGAAUUGCUGGAUGCAAUAUUUAUAUUCUAAGAUUGCCUGUUUAAAUAAUUUCCUGUAAACACUUGGUUGAAGUAUCUAAUCUAAUAACAAGAAUUGCAUUUUACGAAAUGCAUACAGAGCGAGUAAUAUCUAGCUCCGCGGUAUUCAUCCUUCUUCGUUAUCAGUUAUCACGAAAAAUUGCUUGGUAAUAUUGUUUCUGUUUGGUAUCUAAAAAUAUCCUUGCUUCAUAGUAGCAUAACUUAUUGGGGUAAGUUCUUGUAUUUUAUGUAUUUGAAACCCUUAUUUUUCAAUUUGAUGAUUUUCUGAUGCUUCUCUUUUGUCUAAGCGUCAUGCUGUUUAUUCUGAGUUCUAAUCGUGUAUCUAGCUUUAAAUAAGGAUUAUUAAUUUGGUAGCUAUAUUUGCUAAUUCUCUAUAACUCUGUAGUGGUUAGAUGAGAAGGAUUAUUAUUUUCUGAAAACGGUAGCAAUUCAACAGUGGAUGCCAGCUUGAACAACACUUGUGAAAUUUGGGUUCAUUCUGGUGUCAAAUCUUGUUAGGUAUGCUGGGUGGAUGAAAAAGUGAGGAAGUAAAUCUAGAAAUGCUGUCAUUGUUUCCACCAAAAACGGAAAAUAAGAUAUAAGUUAUUGUCCUAUAUCCACCUUUUCUUCUCCAUAGCUUCUCUUCUGAGGAGGGGGGAGGUAAUAUCUUCUUGCAGUGAUGCAACUAAACAUUUUGUCAUGGGGUUCUUGGUUCUGAUCCCUACUCUGGUCUAGCGUAAUGUUACAGAUUUGGCAGAAGAAACCAAAGGUAAUGCAUCAUGAGGGUGCACUACGGCAAAUAUACUGUAUACGGUACUGGAGGUGGCAACUAAAUGACAAUGGACCAGUGGCUGCUCUAAGUGAUCUCAUGAUUGGUGCAUCCACAAACUCUGAUGAGUUGAUGAUGAUGCCGUUGUUGGUUUGGGCAAGGAAGUGAAUAGAGCCUGGACUUGCUCUUGCUGGAAGU
This is an RNA transcript of Sesamum indicum (sesame), 3892 nucleotides long. It is a transcript of the gene named protein RBL, with no coding region annotated. Lineage: Eukaryota; Viridiplantae; Streptophyta; Magnoliopsida; Lamiales; Pedaliaceae. The record is from RefSeq and is a predicted model, not a curated record.